CCUACGGGAGGCAGCAGUGAGGAAUAUUGGUCAAUGGACGAGAGUCUGAACCAGCCAAGUAGCGUGAAGGAUGACUGCCCUAUGGGUUGUAAACUUCUUUUAUAUGGGAAUAAAACGUUCCACGUGUGGGAUUUUGUAUGUACCAUAUGAAUAAGGAUCGGCUAACUCCGUGCCAGCAGCCGCGGUAAUACGGAGGAUCCGAGCGUUAUCCGGAUUUAUUGGGUUUAAAGGGAGCGUAGGUGGAUUGUUAAGUCAGUUGUGAAAGUUUGCGGCUCAACCGUAAAAUUGCAGUUGAAACUGGCAGUCUUGAGUACAGUAGAGGUGUGCGGAAUUCGUGGUGUAGCGGUGAAAUGCUUAGAUAUCGCGAAGAACUCCGAUUGCGAAGGCAGUUCACUGGACUGCAACUGACACUGAGGCUCGAAAGUGUGGGUAUCAAACAGGAUUAGAUACCCUGGUAGUC
Molecule: ribosomal RNA, 460 nt
Filed under: uncultured bacterium
Lineage: Bacteria
Description: partial 16S ribosomal RNA
Rfam family: Bacterial small subunit ribosomal RNA
Source: RNAcentral